Molecule: long non-coding RNA, 1295 nt
Organism: Heterocephalus glaber (naked mole-rat)
Lineage: Eukaryota; Metazoa; Chordata; Mammalia; Rodentia; Bathyergidae
Source: Ensembl
UAAUAUUAAAAAAACUCUCAAAGUACAUCAGGGUAAAUCAAAGACUAAUUGGUGACCAAAUUAUAGGGUUUAAAGCUCUCUCUCUCUCAUUUUCGUUUUCUUUCUUUUUAAACCAUAAAUGAGUAAAAAUAAUUAGGAAAUGUGAAUACGUGCUUUUUCUUUCAUUAAUAAUGACUCACAUAGUGAUAAUCCAUUUUUAGCAAAAAAAUGUUUCAGUUUUGGACCAAGGGCUGCAAUUCCACAAUGUAGCACUUUAUAUUUAGCCAGUGCUUGGUGUUCAUCUGCUGAUGUCUCCUCCUGUCCUAGACUGAAGUUGGUUUGAUUCCUGAGAUGGCAGUCAUUAGAGUACAGGUGGAAAUGGACACCUUAUUAAGUUCUGUAGAUGGGAUUAAAUAACACUUUCAACAAAUAUGUCACUAGGGUUUUCAUUUUUAAAGUGAGCAUGUAGGAUUGUAGAGUACUAGGGACUUUGGUCAGAGGUCCAUGUUUGAUCUAAGACAGAAACUGGUCUGAGACUCCUCCUGAAUGCUGUAUUUCCUGCUUGAUGACAGUAUCAGCCUACUUCCUAUCAGCCAUAGCUAUUUAUACUCAGAAGCACAGAUUCCACAGCUGUAAAGAAAGUGUCUCUCAAAUCACAAUUUCUUCUCCCUUUUGCUCAGGGAAAUUUACAAGGUUGUUUUUGAAGAUAAUCAUGGAGACAAGGCAGAGGUGUUUCUAUAGGAGAGGUUCCACUGUGCCUUCCUCUUCUUUCUUUCAGAUAAUAUCACAGCAAGUCAUGCUCGAUGAUGGAAAAUGUUCUGAGAAAGUCUAUGUCAGGGCUUAUCCAUAAAAGGGCCUUGAUAAGUAUUGUUGCAUUCAGUGGAGUUAGCAUCUUGUUUAUAGAGGACUGAACUCAGCCCCAGGCCACACUGGUAUGAGAACCCAGGACAAACCACAAAAUAGCUUUUCUGUUUGCAAAUGAGUAUUAUAAGCCUCCCUUCUCAGGUUCUUUUAAGGCUCAAAUGAACUAAUAAAAUCAAAAGUCCUAUAAGACUGGAGAAGUGAAAACUAUUAGCAUUAAAUUUUUUUUUCCCUAAAGGAUAUUGAUGGAAACAUCUUCAUGCACAUAUGCAUUUCAUUAUCAAACUAUUUUUAAGUUAUUAGUUGUCUUUAGGUUCUUUUGUUGAUCUAUCAUAAGGCCAUAAUGGAUGCAUUCAUGACUAAAAUGGAUCUGAAUGACACUGAUGUGUCUGUGACUUCCAUGCUGGAAACGACUGGCUGCAAGUUCUACUGAUCUGUAUGAUAGCAUUUCAGAG